RNAcentral lists this ribosomal RNA (636 nucleotides) under uncultured Actinomycetes bacterium. RNAcentral describes it as "bacterial SSU rRNA". It matches the Rfam family "Bacterial small subunit ribosomal RNA", at positions 233 to 885 of the family's 1533-position model. Lineage: Bacteria; Bacillati; Actinomycetota; Actinomycetes. The record is from RNAcentral.
CCGCCUGGGGAGUACGGGUGAGGUAACGGCUCACCAAGGCAUCGGCGGGUAGCUGGUCUGAGAGGACGAUCAGCCACACUGGGACUGAGACACGGCCCAGACUCCUACGGGAGGCAGCAGUAGGGAAUCUUGCGCAAUGGGCGAAAGCCUGACGCAGCAACGCCGCGUGGGGGAUGAAUGCCUUCGGGUUGUAAACCCCUUUCAGCAGGGACGAAAAUGACGGUACCUGCAGAAGAAGCUCCGGCCAACUACGUGCCAGCAGCCGCGGUAAUACGUAGGGAGCGAGCGUUGUCCGGAAUUAUUGGGCGUAAAGAGCUCGUAGGCGGUUCAGUAAGUCGGGUGUGAAAACUCAAGGCUCAACCUUGAGACGCCACUCGAUACUGCUGUGACUUGAGUCCGGUAGAGGAGUGUGGAAUUCCUGGUGUAGCGGUGAAAUGCGCAGAUAUCAGGAGGAACACCAGCGGCGAAGGCGGCACUCUGGGCCGGUACUGACGCUGAGGAGCGAAAGCAUGGGGAGCAAACAGGAUUAGAUACCCUGGUAGUCCAUGCCGUAAACGUUGGGCACUAGGUAUGGGAUCAUAUCAACGGAUUCCGUGCCGUAGCUAACGCAUUAAGUGCCCCGCCUGGGGAGUACGG